CGUCCCUGCCCUUUGUACACAC
Molecule: non-coding RNA, 22 nt
Filed under: Arabidopsis thaliana (thale cress)
Lineage: Eukaryota; Viridiplantae; Streptophyta; Magnoliopsida; Brassicales; Brassicaceae
Also listed under: 1 other name
Source: RNAcentral